This is a long non-coding RNA of Haliotis rubra (blacklip abalone), 279 nucleotides long. RefSeq lists it as uncharacterized. Lineage: Eukaryota; Metazoa; Mollusca; Gastropoda; Lepetellida; Haliotidae. The transcript has 2 exons. The record is from RefSeq and is a predicted model, not a curated record.
AUGUUUCAUUUUACAAGGGAUGUGGUGACAAUGUUUCACCCUACGUGGGAUGUGGUAACAAUGUUUCAUUCUACAUGAGGUAAGAAGACAAUGUUUCACUCAAAAUGGGAUGAGGUGACACUGUUUCACAAAAAAUGGGAUGAGGUGACAAUGUUUUACUCUACAUGGGAUGAGGUGACAAUGUUUCACUCUACAUGAGGUAAGGUGACAAUGUUUCACUCUACAUGAGGUAAGGUGACAAUGUUUCACUCUAAAUGGGAUGAGGAGACAAUGUUUCAC